GCUGGGUAACACCCAGUGGGGGCAACCCUAAGGCUAGUGCCACAGAAACAUACCGCCCGCAGGGGCAAGGGUGAAACGGUGAGGUAAGAGCUCACCAGCGCAAUCGGUAACGGUUGCGGCUAGGUAAACCCCACCGGGAGCAAGACCAAGAGGGCGCUUCGGCGUCUGCGCUGACGGGCUGCUCGUCUGCAUCAGCGGGUAGGUUGCACCGAGGUGUCCAGCAAUGGGCACCCCAGAUGGAUGGUCGCCUAUCCCUUCGGGGAGCACAGAAUCCGGCUUAUAGGCCAACUCAUUUG
Molecule: RNase P RNA, 296 nt
Filed under: Actinomycetales bacterium
Lineage: Bacteria; Bacillati; Actinomycetota; Actinomycetes; Actinomycetales
Description: partial RNase P RNA component class A
Rfam family: Bacterial RNase P class A
About the family: Ribonuclease P (RNase P) is a ubiquitous endoribonuclease, found in archaea, bacteria and eukarya as well as chloroplasts and mitochondria.
Source: RNAcentral